This 468-nucleotide ribosomal RNA is filed under the name uncultured bacterium. Its description in RNAcentral is "partial 16S ribosomal RNA". It matches the Rfam family "Bacterial small subunit ribosomal RNA", at positions 28 to 507 of the family's 1533-position model. The record is from RNAcentral.
GACGAACGCUGGCGGCGUGCUUAACACAUGCAAGUCGAACGGAAAGGCCCUGCUUUUGUGGGUUGCUCGAUUGGCGAACGGGUGUGUAACACGUGAGUAACCUGCCCUUGACUUUGGUAUAACUUCAGGAAACUUGGGCUAAUACCGGAUAGGAUCUCCUGCUGCAUGGUGGGGGUUGGAAAGUUUCGUCGGUUGGGGAUGGACUCGCGGCUUAUCAGCUUGUUGGUGGGGUAGUGGCUUACCAAGGGUUUGACGGGUAGCCGGCAUGAGAGGGUGAACGGGCACAUUGGGACUGAGAUACGGACCAGACGACUACGGGAGGCAGCAGUGGGGAAUAUUGCACAAUGGGCGGAAGCCUGAUGCAGCAACGCCGCGAGCGGGAUGAAGGCCUUCGGGUUGUAAAACGAUUUAGCAUGUGACGAAGCGUGAGUGACGGUAAUGGGUAAAGAAGCACCGGCUAACUACGUG